GAUGAACGCUGGCGGUAUGCCUAACACAUGCAAGUCGUACGAGAGUUUUUAACUCUAGUGGCGGACGGGUGAGUAACACGUGAGAAUUUGCCUUUAGGAGGGGGAUAACAAUUGGAAACGAAUGCUAAUACCCCAUAUGCUUUUGAGUGAAAUGGAUUUUAUCCGCCUAGAGAGAAGCUCGCGGCUGAUUAGCUUGUUGGUAAGGUAAGAGCUUACCAAGGCGACGAUCAGUAUCUGGUUUGAGAGGACGAUCAGACACACUGGAACUGAGACACGGUCCAGACUCCUACGGGAGGCAGCAGUGGGGAAUUUUCCGCAAUGGGCGAAAGCCUGACGGGAGCAAUACCGCGUGAGGGAAGAAUGCCUAUGGGUUGUAAACCUUCUUUUUCAGGGAGGAAUAAAUGACGUGUACUGAAGAAUAAGCAAUCGGCUAACUCCGUGCCAGCAGCCGACGGUAAUGUGACUACUG
This 469-nucleotide ribosomal RNA is filed under the name uncultured bacterium. RNAcentral describes it as "bacterial SSU rRNA". It matches the Rfam family "Bacterial small subunit ribosomal RNA", at positions 28 to 534 of the family's 1533-position model. The record is from RNAcentral.